UGUGCAGAUACCCUAGUAGCGGCGAGCGAAGCGGGAAGAGCUCAAAUUUAUAAUCUGGCACCUUCGGUGUCCGAGUUGUAAUCUCUAGAAAUGUUUUCCGCGUUGGACCGCACACAAGUCUGUUGGAAUACAGCGGCAUAGUGGUGAGACCCCCGUAUAUGGUGCGGACGCCCAGCGCUUUGUGAUACAUUUUCGAAGAGUCGAGUUGUUUGGGAAUGCAGCUCAAAUUGGGUGGUAAAUUCCAUCUAAAGCUAAAUAUUGGCGAGAGACCGAUAGCGAACAAGUACCGUGAGGGAAAGAUGAAAAGCACUUUGGAAAGAGAGUUAACAGUACGUGAAAUUGUUGGAAGGGAAACGCUUGAAGUCAGACUUGCUUGCCGAGCAAUCGGUUUGCAGGCCAGCAUCAGUUUUCCGGGAUGGAUAAUGGUAGAGAGAAGGUAGCAGUUUCGGCUGUGUUAUAGCUCUCUGCUGGAUACAUCUUGGGGGACUGAGGAACGCAGUGUGCCUUUGGCGGGGGUUUCGACCUCUUCACACUUAGGAUGCUGGUGGAAUGGCUUUAAACGACCCGUCUUAAACACCACGACCCAAAAUGACGACACCACCUACUACGGCGACAAUGC
RNAcentral lists this ribosomal RNA (619 nucleotides) under Rhodotorula mucilaginosa. RNAcentral describes it as "partial large subunit ribosomal RNA". It matches the Rfam family "Eukaryotic large subunit ribosomal RNA", at positions 65 to 664 of the family's 3401-position model. The record is from RNAcentral. Lineage: Eukaryota; Fungi; Basidiomycota; Microbotryomycetes; Sporidiobolales; Sporidiobolaceae.